GACAACUCGCGGGGAUUGUUUUCCACACCGUGGAAGCUUUGUUCUUUUCGUUUUUUGCAAUAAAUCUUGUUGCUGCUCGCUUUUUGGGUCCACAUUGCUUUUAUGAGCUGUACCACUCACCGUGAAGAUCUGCAGCUUCACUUCAGAGCCUAGCGAGACCACAAGCUCACUGAGAGGAACAAACAACUCCAGACGCGCUGUCUUAAGAGCUAUAACACUCACCGCGAAGGUGUGCAGUUUCACUCCUGAGCUAGUGAGACUACGAAGCCACUGGAACGAAGAAACUCCAACCACGUUUGAACAUCAGAAGGGGCAGACUCCAGACGCUUCAUCUUAAGAGCUGUAACACUCACUGUGAAGGUCUGCAGCUUCACUCCUGAGCCAGCGAGACCACGAACCGAUCUGAACAUCAGAAGGGACAGACUCCAGAUGCCCCACCUUAAGAGCUGUAAUACUCACUGCAAGGGUCUGCAGCUUCAUUCUUGAAGUCAGACCAAGAACCCAGCAAUUCCCAACACACAGGGACCAGCUUCUUUCCUAACUCACUUAGGCUCUUCGUGCUGCUCUGGCAACUAACACCCUUGGCUGCAGGGGCUUGGACACUACCCUUAGUCACUGACAAUUGUGUGAAGGCUGCUGUCGUUAACUUCACUUGAUCACCUUAGGCUCCUGUGAAGUGGUGAGCAAUUCAAACAAAUUCCUGUCGUCAAAUCAUAAUCCUGAUUUUGUUUGGAAGGACAGCGUGCCUGGUUCCAGGACUUGAAUCAUUCGUUUGUCCAGCAUCUCCAUGCUGUGUACGCUACCCGCCUGUUAGUCAUUGACACUGUCUGCUCCUGACAUCCACCCAUCAAUAUUGUCAUUGCUCAAUGAUCCAGGAUCACCGAGAGCAGAUGAGCCUCCUGAUGCAUGGUCAGAAGAUGGAGAAAUUGCACUGCAGAGAAAUCUUUAAAAGCAAUUACCUAAUACUGCAGAUUGCUGAACUGUACCCACACCCAAGACUGAGCAUUGGAUCAAUCCAGAAUAUACAUCAGGUGUUCUGCAAUGUCUGCCUAAAACCAUGACUCUGCCUCCUCCAGCUGUUGCUACAUCUCACUAUGGGUUUCCUGUGACAUUUUGAGCAAGUAUGCCUCUGUGACUGGGGUUCUUACACUCCAGAAUGGAUGAGAAGCACCGUAAGUGGCUUUUAAAAUGAAUAUUCCCUGGCCCUUCAGUCGCUCUAUAGGUCAAGAAUCUGAAUUCUCAACCUGUCUAGAAGGUUCUGGUUUUAAUGGUCUGUGGGCUGCACAUUGAGAAACCUGUUCAGCGAGUGCAACAAAGGUUCCACAUGUGAGAAAGGAAGCAUCAGGUCUCUUGAGCCUGUUCUUUAAUCUGUAGGCUGCACCUUCUCUUUAAAUUCUGCUAAUAACACCAUGCGAGAAAACACCCGAGCUUGAAAAGCCCAUGUUCCAACAUAACUGUCCUUCACCACUCUGGAAAAUUAAUGGUUUGUUUCGAUUAUCCCUUUGUUAAACUCCAAAGUCAAAGAGCUCUGAAAGGCAUACGGUUAUUUUAAGUUUCAGGUGAUUUCUGUUGCCAAAUAUUUUAAAAAUUUAAAAUUGCUACGUGACCUCUUAGUAGUACUAUUAGAUUUCCUGACAAUAAAAAUAAGUCUUUUGGUUUCACCAUUUAUAGUUAGUACAGCUAAUAUUAAGUAUAAUUUUAAAAGCCUUUUAUUUUCUCAGAAAGAAAAAAUAAUCAAAAUCUGCUCAGUGUGGUAUUGAAUAAUUAAAAACAAAAGAACAGUAUCUUCACAUUAGUGUUUAAUAUUAAUUGCUUUUUUACCCUUGACACUGGUGCUAAUUAAAUUUUCAUUUUAUUUUCCAUGAC
Homo sapiens (human) is the source of this 1866-nucleotide long non-coding RNA. The record is from Ensembl. Lineage: Eukaryota; Metazoa; Chordata; Mammalia; Primates; Hominidae.